RNAcentral lists this transfer RNA (83 nucleotides) under Thermoplasmatales archaeon. RNAcentral's name for it is "tRNA-Leu". It matches the Rfam family "tRNA". Rfam says of the family: Transfer RNA (tRNA) molecules are approximately 80 nucleotides in length. Their secondary structure includes four short double-helical elements and three loops (D, anti-codon, and T loops). Lineage: Archaea; Methanobacteriati; Thermoplasmatota; Thermoplasmata; Thermoplasmatales. The record is from RNAcentral.
GCAGGGGUAGCCAAGCGGAUAAAGGCGCAAGGUUCAGGGCCUUGUGGCGCAGGCCUUCGUGGGUUCGAAUCCCACCCCCUGCA